AAAAGGCUCUGAUGAAUCAUGUGUACAACGCAUGUCAGACUUCAGAGAUGCCACAACAUUGAUGAGAAGAUAUAUCAUAUUCCGAGCUAUUU
Small nucleolar RNA from Lolium rigidum, 92 nucleotides. RefSeq annotates it as small nucleolar RNA R64/Z200 family. Lineage: Eukaryota; Viridiplantae; Streptophyta; Magnoliopsida; Poales; Poaceae. The record is from RefSeq and is a predicted model, not a curated record. The transcript has a single exon.